UGGUAUCUUGAGGUGUCUUCUUCAGAAAAAUUAUCUGCAAAGAGAUGGUCAAUUUCGUUCAUACAUUAUUUUCUUUUUCCCGGCAACUUGCUUCAGCAUCAGAGGGGAAGAAACCACGCUUGGGUUUAGGUCAAUUUGGAUUCGACUGGGCUGAAGCACUUGAUCAAUUGNAGGCCAUGAACUCAUCAAAAGUCAGCAUCUACAAGUUGGAGGACUAUAAAAUAAUAUACACAGAAAUGUCACCUCUCUCGAUGCCCAACAAAAGUAAGCCAAUGCAACUUCUCUCUCUCUCUUUCUCUCUCUCUCCACCACUACCACCGCCAGGCACCAGCAACCACGCUGACUUCAGAGUCAACCAAAUGUGUAUUUUUGUGUAUGCAAAAAACCAUUAGAGAGACGUGAUUUUGUUUCUAUGCAUUUGAGGAACACCAAGGAUGUCUGGGCGCAGAGAGCUACCUUUGAUGAGACACAGCACAUCUGCGCACUCACUGCGCAAUUGGAGAAUCACUAUCGCAAUAGCUGUUGGGAUUUUCCUUGGAUGUGUCUUCGCCUUCUUUUUCCCUCACGGAUUCUUUCUUUCCAAUCCUAAUUUUCACUCUCCCC
Molecule: unclassified non-coding RNA, 603 nt
Filed under: Hevea brasiliensis (rubber tree)
Lineage: Eukaryota; Viridiplantae; Streptophyta; Magnoliopsida; Malpighiales; Euphorbiaceae
Source: RNAcentral